GAGUAGUAAAUGUUUUGGACAGGAAACUUAAAGAAUUUGGCGGUAUAUAUUCUAUUUAGAGGAAUAUGUUUUUUAAUUGAUAAUCCACAUGUAUUUUACUUAAAAUAAUUUAUUUUGUAUAUCUCCGUCUUAAAAAAAUUUUUUAAAAUAUUUUUUAGUU
RNAcentral lists this ribosomal RNA (160 nucleotides) under Trichadenotecnum sp. Tiger30. Its description in RNAcentral is "partial 12S rRNA". The record is from RNAcentral. Lineage: Eukaryota; Metazoa; Arthropoda; Insecta; Psocodea; Psocidae.